This 493-nucleotide ribosomal RNA is filed under the name uncultured bacterium. RNAcentral's name for it is "partial 16S ribosomal RNA". It matches the Rfam family "Bacterial small subunit ribosomal RNA", at positions 28 to 507 of the family's 1533-position model. The record is from RNAcentral.
GACGAACGCUGGCGGCGUGCUUAACACAUGCAAGUCGAACGGUGAAGGGACCGGUUUUUGCUGGUUCUGGAUGAGUGGCGAACGGGUGGGUAACACGUGAGUAACCUGCCCCCUUCUUCUGGAUAACCGCAUGAAAGUGUGGCUAAUACGGGAUAUUCUGCGCCUGCUGCAUGGUGGGUGUGGGAAAGAUAUUGUUUCGGUGGGGGAUGGGCUCGCGGCCUAUCAGCUUGUUGGUGGGGUGAUGGCCUACCAAGGCGGUGACGGGUAGCCGGCCUGAGAGGGUGGACGGUCACACUGGGACUGAGACACGGCCCAGACUCCUACGGGAGGCAGCAGUGGGGAAUAUUGCACAAUGGGCGCAAGCCUGAUGCAGCGACGCCGCGUGAGGGAUGGAGGCCUUCGGGUUGUAAACCUCUUUCGCCAGUGAAGCAGGCCUGUCCCUUUUGUGGGUGGGUUGACGGUAGCUGGAUAAGAAGCGCCGGCUAACUACGUG